RNAcentral lists this ribosomal RNA (270 nucleotides) under uncultured bacterium. RNAcentral's name for it is "partial 16S ribosomal RNA". It matches the Rfam family "Bacterial small subunit ribosomal RNA", at positions 524 to 793 of the family's 1533-position model. The record is from RNAcentral.
UACGGAGGGUGCGAGCGUUAAUCGGAAUUACUGGGCGUAAAGCGCAUGCAGGUGGUUUGUUAAGUCAGAUGUGAAAGCCCGGGGCUCAACCUCCGGAAUUGCAUUUGAAACUGGCAAACUAGAGUACUGUAGAGGGGGUAGAAUUUCAGGUGUAGCGGUGAAAUGCGUAGAGAUCUGAAGGAAUACCGGUGGCGAAGGCGGCCCCCUGGACAGAUACUGACACUCAGAUGCGAAAGCGUGGGGAGCAAACAGGAUUAGAUACCCUGGUAG